Molecule: ribosomal RNA, 393 nt
Filed under: uncultured bacterium
Lineage: Bacteria
Description: partial 16S ribosomal RNA
Rfam family: Bacterial small subunit ribosomal RNA
Source: RNAcentral
AUACGGAGGAUGCGAGCGUUAUCCGGAUUUAUUGGGUUUAAAGGGAGCGUAGGUGGGAUAUUAAGUCAGCUGUGAAAGUUUGGGGCUCAACCUUAAAAUUGCAGUUGAUACUGGUUUCCUUGAGUACGGUACAGGUGGGCGGAAUUCGUGGUGUAGCGGUGAAAUGCUUAGAUAUCACGAAGAACUCCGAUCGCGAAGGCAGCUCACCGUGCCGGAACUGACACUGAUGCUCGAAAGUGCGGGUAUCAAACAGGAUUAGAUACCCUGGUAGUCCGCACAGUAAACGAUGAAUACUCGCUGUUUGCGAUACACUGUAAGCGGCCAAGCGAAAGCGUUAAGUAUUCCACCUGGGGAGUACGCCGGCAACGGUGAAACUCAAAUGAAUUGACGGGG